AAGAGACAGCAGUAGCCGCGGGAAUACGGAGGGUGCAAGCGUUAAUCGGAAUUACUGGGCGUAAAGCGCACGCAGGCGGUCUGACAAGUCAGAUGUGAAAUCCCCGGGCUUAACCUGGGAACUGCAUUUGAAACUGUCAGGCUGGAGUCUUGUAGAGGGGGGUAGAAUUCCAGGUGUAGCGGUGAAAUGCGUAGAGAUCUGGAGGAAUACCGGUGGCGAAGGCGGCCCCCUGGACAAAGACUGACGCUCAGGUGCGAAAGCGUGGGGAGCAAACAGGAUUAGAUACCCCAGUAGUCCCUGUCUCUUAUAC
This 310-nucleotide ribosomal RNA is filed under the name uncultured bacterium. Its description in RNAcentral is "partial 16S ribosomal RNA". It matches the Rfam family "Bacterial small subunit ribosomal RNA", at positions 503 to 807 of the family's 1533-position model. The record is from RNAcentral.